This 510-nucleotide ribosomal RNA is filed under the name uncultured bacterium. RNAcentral describes it as "bacterial SSU rRNA". It matches the Rfam family "Bacterial small subunit ribosomal RNA", at positions 15 to 518 of the family's 1533-position model. The record is from RNAcentral.
GAUUAUGGCUCAGGAUGAACGCUAGCGGCAGGCUUAACACAUGCAAGUCGAGGGGCAGCGGGAUGUAGCAAUACAUUGCCGGCGACCGGCGGAUGGGUGCGUAACGCGUAUGCAACCUACCUUAUACAGGGGAAUAACCUUUCGAAAGGGAGACUAACACCCCAUAGUAUUGAUUUAAGGCAUCUUAGAUUAAUUAAAUAUUUAUAGGUAUAAGAUGGGCAUGCGUAUGAUUAGCUAGUUGGUAAGGUAACGGCUUACCAAGGCGACGAUCAUUAGGGGUUCUGAGAGGAAGGUCCCCCACACUGGUACUGAGACACGGACCAGACUCCUACGGGAGGCAGCAGUGAGGAAUAUUGGUCAAUGGGCGCAAGCCUGAACCAGCCAUGCCGCGUGCAGGAAGACGGCCUUAUGGGUUGUAAACUGCUUUUACAUAAGACUAACCGUAUAUUUGCGAAUAUACCUGAAUGUAUUAUGAGAAUAAGGAUCGGCUAACUCCGUGCCAGCCGCCGC